Long non-coding RNA from Rhagoletis pomonella (apple maggot), 607 nucleotides. RefSeq lists it as uncharacterized. Lineage: Eukaryota; Metazoa; Arthropoda; Insecta; Diptera; Tephritidae. The transcript has 2 exons. The record is from RefSeq and is a predicted model, not a curated record.
GCAAAUUUAAAUAAAAAUCACAUUUCCAAUUUGUACGAAAAUAAAGUUCAAUGUCGUCAAGAACAUUUCGUCUCCAUUCAAAAGUGAAAUUGAAGGUUAAGUUUGAGUGAGAUAAACAAGCAAUUAUAGCUACAUAUUUAAAUACAUAUGUAUGCAUGUAGAUAUAUACAUAGAAUUAUGUAUGUCCGUCCAUAUGUGUUGAAAGCAUAAAAAUGCGUAAAGACAGCUAAGUAGAAUGAUGAGUAAAGACUCGCACACUUUGCGCGGAUUAAUGAGGCGGAAAAACGCACAUGGAGCAGGAAAUAUUUAACUCCCAGCACUCAAGGCGUAUUAAGCCAUUAAGGUUAAUGGCAGCGGAAGGUGAAAACCAUAAAACUACACAAACAUGCAGACCAUCUACAAAUAACUUCCACCGUUUCAGCUCCCACAAUUUUUUUUUUUUUUAUUUUUAUUUUUUUUUGACAUGGCAUCAUACUUAUAUUUACGCAAAAUAUACAUGUGAAUACGAAAAAGCAUAAUUUUUAUUUAUUUUCUUUAAUCUUUUGUUCGUUGUUGCCAUUAUCAUUUAAUCGCCAUCUGCGCGUUCUGUUCUUAAUGUCAGAAUUUU